AGUGAACGCUGGCGGUAGGCCUAACACAUGCAAGUCGAACGGCAGCACAGUAAGAGCUUGCUCUUACGGGUGGCGAGUGGCGGACGGGUGAGGAAUACAUCGGAAUCUACUUUUUCGUGGGGGAUAACGUAGGGAAACUUACGCUAAUACCGCAUACGACCUACGGGUGAAAGCAGGGGAUCUUCGGACCUUGCGCGAUUGAAUGAGCCGAUGUCGGAUUAGCUAGUUGGCGGGGUAAAGGCCCACCAAGGCGACGAUCCGUAGCUGGUCUGAGAGGAUGAUCAGCCACACUGGAACUGAGACACGGUCCAGACUCCUACGGGAGGCAGCAGUGGGGAAUGUUGGACAAUGGGCGCAAGCCUGAUCCAGCCAUACCGCGUGGGUGAAGAAGGCCUUCGGGUUGUAAAGCCCUUUUGUUGGGAAAGAAAAGCAGCAGGUUAAUACCCCGCUGUUCCGACGGUACCCAAAGAAUAAGCACCGGCUAACUUCGUG
This 492-nucleotide ribosomal RNA is filed under the name uncultured bacterium. RNAcentral's name for it is "partial 16S ribosomal RNA". It matches the Rfam family "Bacterial small subunit ribosomal RNA", at positions 29 to 507 of the family's 1533-position model. The record is from RNAcentral.